UGACUAUCAGAAGAUACCUUUCCUAGGGCA
RNAcentral lists this non-coding RNA (30 nucleotides) under Mus musculus (house mouse). The record is from RNAcentral. Lineage: Eukaryota; Metazoa; Chordata; Mammalia; Rodentia; Muridae.